CAGCCGCGGUAAUUCCAGCUCCAAUAGCGUAUACUUAAGUUGUUGCAGUUAAAAAGCUCGUAGUUGAAAUUCGAGUCAGUUACUAGUUGGCUUUUCGUCAGUUAGUUAAUUGAUUCUCCGUCUACAAUCCCUUUUGCGCUUUAGGGUUGCAGCUGGGCGAGUAGACAAUUUACCUUGAANAAAUUAGAGUGUUCCAGGCAGGUCUUCGCCGGAAUACAUUAGCAUGGAAUAAUGGAAUAGGACUUGGGUCUUUUGUUGGUUUUAGGACUUGAGUAAUGAUUAAUAGGGACAGAUGGGGGCAUUAGUAUUUAAUUGUCAGAGGUGAAAUUCUUGGAUUUAUUAAAGACUAACUUAUGCGAAAGCAUUUGCCAAGGAUGUUUUCAUUAAUCAAGAACGAAAGUUAGGGGAUCAAAGACGAUCAGAUACCGUCGUAGUCUUAACUAUAAACUAUACCGACUCGAGAUCGGAAGGGUAAUAUAUUAGUCCCUUUCGGCAUCGUAAGAGAA
RNAcentral lists this ribosomal RNA (506 nucleotides) under Paramecium tetraurelia. RNAcentral describes it as "SSU rRNA". It matches the Rfam family "Eukaryotic small subunit ribosomal RNA", at positions 571 to 1096 of the family's 1831-position model. The record is from RNAcentral. Lineage: Eukaryota; Ciliophora; Oligohymenophorea; Peniculida; Parameciidae.